GAUGAACGCUGGCGGCGUGCCUAACACAUGCAAGUCGAACGGGGUUAAGUGAAAUUUUCGGAUGGAACUUAACUUAGUGGCGGACGGGUGAGUAACGCGUGGAUAACCUGCCUCACACUGGGGGAUAGCAGCUGGAAACGGCUGGUAAUACCGCAUAAGACCACAGCACCGCAUGGUGCAGGGGUAAAAGAUUUAUCGGUGUGAGAUGGAUCCGCGUCUGAUUAGCCAGUUGGCGGGGUAACGGCCCACCAAAGCGACGAUCAGUAGCCGGCCUGAGAGGGUGAACGGCCACAUUGGGACUGAGACACGGCCCAAACUCCUACGGGAGGCAGCAGUGGGGAAUAUUGCACAAUGGGCGCAAGCCUGAUGCAGCAACGCCGCGUGAGUGAAGAAGUAUUUCGGUAUGUAAAGCUCUAUCGGCAGGGAAGAAAGGCCCGAAAGGGAGAUGACGGUACCUGACUAAGAAGCCCCGGCUAACUACGUGCCAGCAGCCGCGGU
Molecule: ribosomal RNA, 498 nt
Filed under: uncultured bacterium
Lineage: Bacteria
Description: bacterial SSU rRNA
Rfam family: Bacterial small subunit ribosomal RNA
Source: RNAcentral